Molecule: ribosomal RNA, 398 nt
Filed under: uncultured bacterium
Lineage: Bacteria
Description: bacterial SSU rRNA
Rfam family: Bacterial small subunit ribosomal RNA
Source: RNAcentral
AAUCAACGCUGGCGGCGUGCCUAACACAUGCAAGUCGAGCGGGAAAGGGGGCUUCGGUCCCUGAGUAUAGCGGCGGACGGGUGAGUAACACGUGGGUAAUUUGCCCUUGGGUGUGGAAUAACUCAGGGAAACUUGAGCUAAUACCGCAUGACAUCCCCUUCACACACGAGUUGGGGAUCAAAGCCGGGGACCCUUCGGGGCCUGGCGCCUGAGGAGAAGCCCGCGCCCGAUUAGCUAGUGGUGAGGUAAUGGCUCACCAAGGCUUCGAUCGGUAGCCGGCCUGAGAGGGCGGACGGCCACACUGGGACUGAGACACGGCCCAGACUCCUACGGGAGGCAGCAGUGGGGAAUUUUUGUCAAUGGGGGAAACCCUGAACAAGCAACGCCGCGUGGAGGAC